GUAUUUGGGGGUUUUACGGCAAGAGUCCCUCCGGAUCCCAGUGCGAGACGUUAGUUACUACGCAAAGGAGGCUCCGGGAGGGUCCGCCACUACCUUUAAGGGCCCACGUCUGCCGUGGGGCCCCAAAACCAAGCGGUGCUUGAGGGUUGAAAUGACGCUCGAACAGGCAUGCUCGCCAGAAUGCUGGCGAGCGCAAUGUGCGUUCAAAGAUUCGAUGAUUCACUGAAUUCUGCAAUUCACAUUACUUAUCGCAUUUCGCUGCGUUCUUCAUCGAUGCCAGAACCAAGAGAUCCGUUGUUAAAAGUUUUAAUUAUUUGCUUGUGCCACUCAGAAGAGACGUCGUGUAAAUAGAGUUUGGUUUCCUCCGGCGGGCGCCCCGUCCCCGUGGUGGGGCCGGCGCCGGGAGGGGAGGCCCGCGAGAGGCUUCCCCUGCCCGCCGAAGCAACGGUUAGGUAUGUUCACAAAGGGUUGUAGAGCGGUAACUCAGUAAUGAUCCCUCCGCUGGUUCACCAACGGAGACCUUGUUACGA
RNAcentral lists this unclassified non-coding RNA (530 nucleotides) under Colletotrichum acutatum. RNAcentral describes it as "sequence contains ITS1, 5.8S rRNA gene and ITS2". The record is from RNAcentral. Lineage: Eukaryota; Fungi; Ascomycota; Sordariomycetes; Glomerellales; Glomerellaceae.